Molecule: ribosomal RNA, 366 nt
Filed under: uncultured Lactobacillus sp.
Lineage: Bacteria; Bacillati; Bacillota; Bacilli; Lactobacillales; Lactobacillaceae
Description: bacterial SSU rRNA
Rfam family: Bacterial small subunit ribosomal RNA
Source: RNAcentral
CAGAUGAUGCCUAUCAACUGUUUAAAAGAAUGGUUCUGCUAUCACUCUUGGGAUGGACCCUGCGGUGCAUUAGCUAGUUGGUAAGGGUAACGGCCUACCAAGGCGAUGAUGCAUAGCCGAGUUGAGAGACUGAUCGGCCACAUUGGGACUGAGACACGGCCCAAAACUCCUACGGGGAGGCAGCAGUAGGGAAAUCUUCCACAAUGGACGCAAGUCUGAUGGAGCAACGCCGCGUGAGUGAAGUAAGGGUUUCGGCUCGUAAAGCUCUGUUGUUGGUGAAGAAGGACAGGGGUAGUAACUGACCUUUGUUUGACGGUAAUCAAUUAGAAAGUCACGGCUAACUACGUGCCAGCAGCCGCGGGUAAU